Molecule: ribosomal RNA, 468 nt
Filed under: uncultured bacterium
Lineage: Bacteria
Description: partial 16S ribosomal RNA
Rfam family: Bacterial small subunit ribosomal RNA
Source: RNAcentral
GACGAACGCUGGCGGCGUGCUUAACACAUGCAAGUCGAACGGAAAGGCCCUGCUUUUGUGGGGUGCUCGAGUGGCGAACGGGUGAGUAACACGUGAGUAACCUGCCCUUGACUUUGGGAUAACUUCAGGAAACUGGGGCUCAUACCGGAUAGGAGCUCCUGCUGCAUGGUGGGGGUUGGAAAGUUUCGGCGGUUGGGGAUGGACUCGCGGCUUAUGAGCUUGUUGGUGGGGUAGUGGCUUACCAAGGCUUUGACGGGUAGCCGGCCUGAGAGGGUGAACGGCCACAUUGGGACUGAGAUACGGACCAGACUCCUACGGGCGGCAGCAGUGGGGAAUAUUGCACAAUGGGCGGAAGUCUGAUGCAGCAACGCCGCGUGCGGGAUGACGGCCUUCGGGUUGUAAACCGCUUUCGCCUGUGACGAAGCGUGAGUGACGGUAAUGGGUAAAGAAGCACCGGCUAACUACGUG